UAUCUAUUUAAAAAAUAUUUUGUAAAAAAAUCUGUCAUUAACUUUUGACCUUGACGCGAUAACUGUAAAUUAUUCUUUCUGUCUAAUAUUGUUACAUAUAAUAUUUUUUAUGUAAAUACUAAAUAUUAACCGUUUUGUACGGAUAUUUGUACGAAUCUAUACGUGCGCAUGCGCUGCCACAUUCGGUUCAGUUUGCGCCGCAAUGAGUCCAAGUUAAGACUAAAGUGAAAUUGUUUCGCAUUUUUUCGCGUUUUAUAUCCGGCAAAAGUGAAUCGAGUGUGAAAAUAUGUACUUCAAACAUCGAGUAAAGUAGUAAGUUAUCAUUAGAAUAUGUUAAUUAAUGUGCAGUAUCGUAAUUAACAACGAUUUCUUCAAUUAUUUCAGGUGCUUGGUUAACUACUCGGACGGCGUCUCUUAUGAAGUUGGAGCGGAACCGCUUCGAUCAGAAGUUGAUGUCGAUUGAGAAAAUAUGUUGGUAGCAAUUAAAUGGCAGAGAUAGCUGGAUGGCGACAUCAAAUCUAUAUUUAACACCGUAUUUGAUUGACGUCGAACGUGUCCUACGAAUCGGCCAGCGAACCGUGAAUCGACAGUUAAAAUAUUUGAUCAUGACCGCUGGCCGCGGACGAAAGUUGAAGACCACAUUGCAUUGCUGUACAGCCCAGUUUACAUUGAAAAGAC
Molecule: long non-coding RNA, 678 nt
Organism: Linepithema humile (Argentine ant)
Lineage: Eukaryota; Metazoa; Arthropoda; Insecta; Hymenoptera; Formicidae
Source: RefSeq, a predicted model, not a curated record